This 462-nucleotide long non-coding RNA is filed under the name Callithrix jacchus (white-tufted-ear marmoset). RNAcentral's name for it is "lncRNA (ENSCJAG00000063779.2)". Lineage: Eukaryota; Metazoa; Chordata; Mammalia; Primates; Cebidae. The record is from RNAcentral.
AUGCUGGAGCUCAACAUCUAUUUGUGGACCAGAGCAGUCAAUUUUGGAGUGUUUCAGGGUCAUAAAGAGAGAAAUGUAAUUUCCCGAGACAACUCAGGGCUAAGUUGCAAAACCUGGGGAAGGAAGUCUAGCAAUACUUGCUGCUGUUUUUACAUUUUGGUCUCAUGUGACCUUCAGGAUGAGCAUCUUCAGGGAAGGAAGGGGUGCUUGGUACCUCUAUUUUUAAAGAGAAUCAAAUGCAUGGCACAUAGGAAGAACCAACUACCUGUUGUGGACCAGACACCGUGUUUGAUGCCCGGCAUCCCAAGAGUGAACAAGUUAGACUUGGGAAUCAUUUCCCCUAAGACUCUGGUCUUGCAGAAAUCCCACAGCAGCUUCUCUUUGAGUUCAGUCAGCUUGUCACCAAAUGCACUGUAUUCUGAGACCUUGCAAUUACUGCGUAAAAAUGGUUUAAUUAAUUAG